Molecule: ribosomal RNA, 207 nt
Filed under: uncultured bacterium
Lineage: Bacteria
Description: partial 16S ribosomal RNA
Rfam family: Bacterial small subunit ribosomal RNA
Source: RNAcentral
CUCGUAGGUGGCCAACUAAGUCAGACGUGAAAUCCCCAGGCUCAACUUGGGAACUGCGUCUGAUACUGGAUGGCUUGAAUUCGGGAGAGGGAUGCAGAAUUCCAGGUGUAGCGGUGAAAUGCGUAGAUAUCUGGAGGAAUGCCGGUGGCGAAGGCGGCAUCCUGGACCGAGAUUGACACUGAUGAGCGAAAGCCAGGGGAGCAAACG